CGUCCUCACACAUUCAUGUGAACCGAGUGUCUCGGCGGGACACAUUUGCAUUUUAAUGAAAAUCAGUUUAUAGACUUCUCCGCUGUGUUCGAGGCGCCACAAGUGGCCCCUUUAAGAGGCUAAUCCGGAUUAGGAGCGAUGCCGGAGCCGAUAGCGCAGCGAGAGGCGCGCGCGCGGGAUUAGGGAGGGACACGGGGGCGGCGCGCGCUGUCCCGGCGCUCAGGACGCGAGUGAACCUGCGCUCGGCGCUCUCUUCCUAGGCGAUGACAGUGAAAGGUGUAGGUUGAGAAGAGUCGGGGACCGAGGACUGAGCCCUGUGGAACACCUGUUCAAAGUGGCUGAGGGGAUGAUCAGGAGCCACACCAGACCACUUGGUUGUGGAGAAUGAGGACCGAGGAGCGGGAGGCCGCUCUAGCCGACUGGAGAGCAUCUGACACUGCGAGGAGAGCUGUCCCGGCGGAAUAUCAAGCGGUGAAUCCAGACUGCUGCCUGUCGAGGAGGUCAUUCUGGGUGAGAAAUGCAGACAGCUGAUCACAGGUUGUCCGUUGCAGAGUUUUUGACGGAAAAGGGAAGGAGGAGACUGGCCCGUAGUUUUGGACUGACUCAGGAUCCAAAGAAGGUUCCUUUACCAGAGGUGAAAUGAGGGCAGUUUUAAAGUGAGAUGGGGAGCAGCCAGAG
Molecule: long non-coding RNA, 678 nt
Organism: Scleropages formosus (Asian bonytongue)
Lineage: Eukaryota; Metazoa; Chordata; Actinopteri; Osteoglossiformes; Osteoglossidae
Exons: 3
Source: RefSeq, a predicted model, not a curated record